RNAcentral lists this ribosomal RNA (468 nucleotides) under uncultured bacterium. RNAcentral describes it as "partial 16S ribosomal RNA". It matches the Rfam family "Bacterial small subunit ribosomal RNA", at positions 28 to 507 of the family's 1533-position model. The record is from RNAcentral.
GACGAACGCUGGCGGCGUGCUUAACACAUGCAAGUCGAACGGAAAGGCCCUGCUUUUGUGGGGUGCUCGAGUGGCGAACGGGUGAGUAACACGUGUGUAACCUGUCCUUGACUUUGGGAUAACUUCAGGAAACUGGGGCUAAUACCGGAUAGGAGCUCCUGCUGCAUGGUGGGGGUUGGAAAGUUUCGGCGGUUGGGGCUGGACUCGCGGCUUAUCAGCUUGUUGGUGGGGUAGUGGCUUACCAAGGCUUUGACGGGUAGCCGGCCUGAGAGGGUGACCGGCCACAUUGGGACUGCGAUACGGCCCAGACUCCUACGGGAGGCAGCAGUGGGGAAUAUUGCACAGUGGGCGGAAGCCUGAUGCAGCAACGCCGCGUGCGGGAUGACGGCCUUCGGGUUGUAAACCGCUUUCGCCUGUGACGAAGCGUGAGUGACGGUAAUGGGUAAAGAAGCACCGGCUAACUACGUG